GUAACGCCCGCUGAAGGAGUCCCAGUGUAAUAAGGUCCCGGAGAAGUGUCACUGGCCCUGAGUGGGACCCGGUAGCCCGUUCGCUCCGCGCCGGCGGCCUGUCCCCGCGGCUUGGCGGGCUAGGGCAGGGGAAAUGUUGCAGGAGGAGUCGGACCUCUCUCUCAUUAUUGCCCAGAUAGUCCAAAAGCUCAAGGGCUCCAAUUUGUACUCUCAGCUGGAACGGCAGGCCUGGGCCAGUCUUCAGAGACCUGAGAUAAAACUUGAAUCACUGAAAGAAGAUAUUAAGGAAUUCUUUAAAAUAUCAGGUUGGGAGAAGAAACUUCAGAAUGCUGUUUAUAGUGAACUGAGUGUGUUUCCUUUACCUAGUCAUCCUGCUGCACCUCCUGAACAUCUUAAAGAACCUUUGGUAUACAUGAGGAAAGCACAGGGAAGUUGGGAAAAAAGAAUUUUGAAGAGUUUAAAUAGUAUGUGCACUGAACUGAGUAUCCCACUGGCACGAAAGAGGCCAGUUGGAGAACAGAAAGAACUUCUUAAUAAAUGGAAUGAAAUGGGAACUGAUGAACCAGAUUUAAGCCUUUUCAGACCUGUUUAUGCACCUAAGGAUUUUCUUGAGGUAUUAAUUAAUCUUCGAAACCCAAAUUAUGAAAAUAGUGAUUCUCUUAGUUUCCGGACUCAUUUGGGUUUAAUUCAAGUUCCACUGAAAGUAAAAGACAUCCCUGAAUUGAAAGAAUGCUUUGUGGAACUUGGCUUAAAUAUAGGACAACUGGGUAUAGAUGAUUCUACACAAGUGCCUCCUGAACUUUUUGAAAAUGAGCAUGUACGUAUUGGGCAAAAAGUUCUAGCAGAACAAGAUAGUGCUGCUGCUCAACAGUACAUCAGACAAGGAAGUCCCACGGCACUGAGAGCUGAAUUGUGGGCUCUCAUUUUGAAUAUUUCCAGCCAACCUGAGGAUGUCUUGUAUUAUGAGCAGCUUAAGACUAAUGUGAUACAACAUGACCUUUUGGUGGACAGUCUAAUCUAUAAAGAUGUGAAGUUGACAGCAAGCAAUGAUGAUUAUUAUUUUGUAUUUGAAGAUUAUUUAUAUCAGGUAUUACUUUGUUUUUCCCGGGAUACAUCUGUGUUGAGUCACUUUGCAUUCAACAGUGCCUCGCCACCAAAAUCAUACAUAAGAGGAAAACUAGGACUGGAAGAAUAUGCUGUCUUUUACCCACCAAAUGGUGUUAUCCCUUUUCAUGGAUUUUCAAUGUAUGUUGCACCACUUUGUUUUCUAUACCAUGAACCUUCCAAAUUGUAUCAGAUAUUCCGUGAGAUGUAUGUGCGUUUUUUCUUCAGACUCCAUUCCAUCUCUUCUCAUCCUUCUGGUAUUGUGUCACUCUGUCUGCUGUUUGAAACUCUUCUUCAAACUUAUCUUCCCCAACUCUUUUAUCAUCUACGGGAAAUUGGAGCUCAACCACUUCGCAUAUCAUUUAAGUGGAUGGUUCGAGCUUUCUCUGGAUACUUAGCUACAGAUCAGCUCUUGCUUUUAUGGGAUAGAAUCCUAGGAUACAACUCUUUGGAAAUUCUUGCUGAUAUGUGGUGUACAUAUACUUACUCAACAAACGUCGAAUACUUACUCUGAGCAAGGUACUGUGCUGGACCUUCAAUGUAUACAGGUAUUUGUGUGAUUGCUUUUUCAGUAUCAAAUGUGGUAAGAGACAGUACCCCCUAUGACAAUAGAAUCUUAGCACAUCUUUCUUAAAGUAAUGGCACCAUCCUUCCUGUGAUAGGAAAAAUAAUGGUUCCUCAAAGAUAUUCAUGUUCUAAUUCCUGAAAACUCUGUAUAUGUUACCUUACCGGCAAAAGGGACUUGCUGAUGUUAUUAACAAUUUAGAGAUGGGGAGAUUAUCCUGGAUUAUCAGGUGGGCCCAAUGUAAUGACAAGUGUUCCUAUAAUUGACAGCGAAACAGAGAAACAGGAGGGUAUGAGUCACAGAGGGAUUUGAAGGUGUCACACAACUGGCUUUAAAAAUGGAGGAAGGGGCCAUGAGCCAGGAACACAGGCAGCUUCUAGAAGCUGGAAGGAAAUGGAGUCUCCCAUGACUCUCCAGAAGGAAUGCAUCCCUACUGACACCUUGAUUGUAGGACUUUUGACCUCCAGAACUGUAAGAUAAUAAUGUUGUAUUGUUUUGAGCUCCUAUAUGGGUCAUAGUUUGUGACAGCAAUAAGAGACAAUCUGUCUCCUCGCAGCUAAAUUAAGUUUACUGUAUUAACUGUAACAUAUGAUAAUAACAAAUUCACAUUGUUUGAAUAACGCUUUUUAUAAAAUAGGUGAUUCUGCCUGUCUUAAUUUCUCUUGUGUGGUUUUGAUAAUGAUCGAAUGUAAACCAAAAAUAAAAUUCUAAGACCUCCCAACCAUCUAAAUGGACUUCCUCGUUAGCCAGGGCUCUUAAAAUUUAACCUGAAAGACUGGUUCAGGCCAUAAAGGGAAGUAGGGGUCGGACAUGCCUGACUGUACUUCUCCAGCAUUAAAAUCAACACAGACUUUAAGUCUGAUGAGAAACAUUUUACAGCCUGUUCUCCCUGAAGCCCACUAGCUAAAAGCUUCACCUGCAUGAUAAAACUCUGGUCUCCACAACCCAAACAUUCUAUUGAUCCCAGGUUUUUAGACAAACUCAACCAAUUGUCAACCAGGAAAUGUUUAAAUUUACCUAUAGCCUUGAUGCCUCCCCGCCUUGAGUUGUCCCGCCUUUCUGGACCAAACCAAUGUCUUUCUUAAAUGUACUUGAUUGAUGGUGCAUGCCUCCCUAAAAUCUAUAAAACCAAGCUGCAUCCCAACAACCUUGGGCACAUGUCAUCAGGACUUCCUGAGGCUGUGUCACGGGCACAAGUCCUCAACCUUGACAAAAUGAACUUUCUAAAUUAACUGAGACCUGUCUCAGAUUUUCUGGGUCUACACAAGUAAGAUAAAAUACAUAAAAGUAUCUUGAAUACAAACUUCUGUUCUGGUGCUGACAGGGAAAAGACCACAGAAAGUUGGGCAAGUGUGAUAGAGGAAGAGGGGUGUUAGGGAAAGUAUAUCACCAAGUCCUAAUGUUUUCUUCUGUGUGGAAAGAGCUCGCUGGUUGUAAUCGACCUUGUGUCCUGAGACUUUGCUGAACUUACUACUUCUACUAUCCUUUUUUGCAGCAUCCCUAGGUGAUGUACAGUAAUUUAUCUAUAAAUAGGCAAUUUUGCUUCUUUCCAAUAUGUAUGCCUGUUGUUUUUCAUUUCUUAUUUGCUGACUAGAACUUGCAAUCAAAUAUGAAAGUGUUACAGCUCACCUAAUUUUAAAUGAAAUGUACUUCUUUUUUGAAUAAUUUUAAGAAGUAUUUUAAGAUAUUUAUCAGUGUAAUAUUUUGGCUGAUAGCUGGCCCUCAUUCCCUCCUCCCCUGGAGAAGAAUGAAUUAUAUUAUUGAUGAGGUUGGGAUAUGACAGUGAGCAUUUAAAGCCAACCUCCUUCUCUCAUCUUUUUCACGGAAUCCAGCUGCCCGCAGUGAACUUUUCUGCACUGCUCCCCUAUUCCCUGAGCUUUACAGAGUCCAGAUCCUACAGUAUGGAAUUGGGGGUGGGGGAGGAGAUGGCUGUAGUUGUUCAGGAGCCUGUGUCUAACUCAGUUUUUAAAAGCUGAGGAGCCCGUGACUAACUCAGUUUUUAAAAGUCCUUGCUGUAAAACUAAGUCACAUUCCUUGGGAUUAACUUAGCAGUAAGAAAGAUGAUAUGUCAUCUUCAUCUGCUUUCAUCAGCCUAGAUUUUAAUUUUCUCUCUCAAGUACUGCUGAACUCAGGCAGGAAGAAGAGUGCAGUUUGUUGAACUCCAAAUCUCGUUCAACAGAACAAAGAAGUUGAGGUUUGCAAGGAAGAACCUAUAAUGAUGGUUCAUGGAAUAUAAACUAGAAAAGAAAAGAAAUAAAAGGUAAGGAGAGUUUGGUGAUGGAUAUGGAUAAAGAGGGGAGAAUGGAUUAAAGGUUACAACAAAAAAGUAAAAGCACUUCUGAGAGAAGGGUAAUUUUGAAGGCACAUAACGUGGAAGGUUAAUAUUGGUAGUCAGAAUGUGAUAUUUGCAUUUGAAAUUUUGGAGAUGGUGCCAUUUUUAUUGAUGUAAAAAUGUAAGGCAUAUGGAUAGCUAAAAUAGGGUAGAAGAAAAUAUCAUUGAAAGUAUGAGGAAGUCAAAAAACCAGGAGUCCAUGAUGUUAGAUGAAUCAUGAGCAUACAUGCUGAAGCCACAAAGGACAAUAGGAGUAGGGUAGGGAUAAAGAAUAAAACUGAGUUGCAAGCUCACUUCCCUGAGAAUGAGGAGGAAAGACCCAGAGACUACUAGUAGGCGACAGCAGCAUGGAGGGGGAAGAGUAGUAGAACUAGAUGGCAUGAGCCUCGAAGGAGCAGAGGGGGUUUGCAAGAAGGAAGGAGGAAUAACACUCUAAAAUUGGCAUUGAGGAGUAAGGUUGGUGCUGAAGCACUUUUGGGGAGGAGAGAAAAAAAGUUUGAAAGGGCUUCAGAGAAACCAUGUCCCCAAGAUACAGCCUUCUUUUAGUUAAGUGAGACUGUGAAUACAUCUCCAGAAAAGAGACUGAAAAAACCCAGGAUUUUAAUGAACUCAUAUUAGGGGUUGGGAAUUCCAAAGAGUUUGUGGGGGGAUGGUUUAUUAAGGAGGGGAAUUUGGGGAUGAGAGAAGUGGGGAGCAAAUCAGGUCAGAUUAAGGCAAGAAAGUUUUUAGGUAAUUGAUGCCUAGAGAGUGAGUUCUGAUAAGGAGUAGAAUAAACGGGGAUGUGUAGAUGAACCGUCUCCUCAGAGGUGACUGAGCAAUAAACUCUACUGCUGUGGUCUAGAUCAUUUGUCUCUGGGGAGGGGCACCUACUGCCUCAGGAAGCCUCAUAUGGUCUAAUCAAAGUCAGCUGCUUCUUAGACAGCAGGAGUUGUGGUAGUCUCUGCUCUAUCACUACACUAGUUUGGUGACUCACCUAUUUUUUCUCAUCUAGUGAAUUUGGUUCUCCUCUCUUCUGACUUCUGCCUAUUUGUUGUUUCUCCUUACUCUGGGCAUGGGGAGGGAUUAUCUUCAGACAAAAUAAUUCCUCCUUCAUAAAUGGAAUCACUGCAAGGUUUUUUUGAAAUAUAAAUACACAACUUAAUUUGCACCCAUAACACAUGCACGAUACACUGCCAAGACUUGGGUGAUGGACUGACCCAUGGUGGGGAGGUGGGGAGAGUGUAUGUGAAAGACAGAGAUAUGGAGAGAGGCAUACUAUUUUUUACGUUGAUGGAUUUCCUCCCCUAGUGUAGGAGAAAAGUAGAUGAAUGAGUAUUUCAUGUGUGAGAGCCUAAAGAAAGUGUAAAGAAGUGAAUACAUGUCUGGAAAGAAAGAUUUGAGUCUGAGGAUGGCAAAUAGAACUUCACCCUGAGAGUGCUCCCCAACUCUGUCAGAGGUCUGAAUAAUGCCAGGCUGGUGGCCAAAUACAGAAAUGUUGUAAUGGAGCACUGUAUGAGGAACAGGAACUACACUCUCCUCAACAGAAGGCCAACCCAGCAUUUCAGCCCUAAGACAAGUUCAGUGGCCUCAACCAGAGAAUAGGAACAAUACCUUGCUUGACCUUCCGGACUUCUCUUACCAAUAUAAAUAUGCAACCACUGUGUGAGGACACCUUCCAGAUUCUCGGGUCUUUCUCCACUCCUAAGUAACCACCAGACACCUAUGCCAUGUGAGGGAGGUAGUUGAAAGAGGAGGGGAGAGUUUCUACACCCAUGCUUUGUAGAGAACUAUGUAUAUUAGUAACACCUGGACUGGAGACAGAAGGAAUAGUCACUACUGUUGCAAACAAAUGUUUUCACAAUAUACCCAUAUUUUUUGUUUAGAUUUUACCAGGCAUGGACUUGAAUCCCAGCUCCACUAUUUACUAACUGUGUGACCUUGGUAAUAUUACUUAACCUUUAAGCCUUGAUUUCUUCAUCUAUAAAAUGUAAAUCAGAACCAAAUAGGUCUGGGUACUCUAAAGAUUAAAUGAGAUAGUGCAUAUAGAAUAUUUAAUACUAAACACUUUACGAAGAAGAAGGAAUCUAUUCUUAUCAUCAAGGACAUACAAUUAAUAGGUAUGUAGUAAUGGAUAAAAUAGCAAGCUCAGAACAAUAAGAUGCAUCAGAAGUGCUCUGCCAUUUUUAGGGUUUCAUGAGCAAUAAAUCUGUGAGACUAGGCAUGGAGGCUCACAUCUGUAAUCCUAACACUUUGAGAGGCUGAGGCAGGAGGGUUGCUUGAGCCCAGGCAUUCAAGGCUGUAAUGAGUCAUGAUCAUGCCACUGCACUCCAGCCUGGGUGACAGAGUGAGACUCUAUCUCAGUCAAUUGAUUAAUAAAAAAUAAAUGAAAUGUUUUGUGCUGUAUUUUCCUCAUGGAGAUUUAUACUGCACAUUAGUCCAUUAUAUACUCUGAGAAUUCCUGCAAUAAACAACCUGAAUAACUCUAUUUAUCCCACAGUUUCUCAGCAUUGCAUAUACACAAACUAUUAAUAUCUUACAGAGAUAGUCUUCCUCAAAACACCAUUUGAAUAGAUUUCCAUUUCUGUCCGAGAUGGACUGAGUGUUUGUGCCCCACUGCCAGAAGUCAUAUGUUGAAGCCCUAACCUCCAAUGUGAUGGUAUAGAAAGCAGGACCUUUGAGAGGUAAUCAAGUCAUCAAGGUACAGCCACCAUGAUGGAACGUAGCUCUCUCCCCUCUCACUCUUCUCACACACAAAGAAGAGGUCAUGUGAGCACACAACAAGAUGGCGGCACUAUAAGGCAAGACUAGAGGUCUCAGAAUAAAUUUUACCUUGCCAGCCUCCAGACUGUGAAAAAUAAAUUUCUGUAGUUUAAGCCACCCACUCUGCUGCUAAAUUUUGUUAUAGCAGCUUGCACCGAUUAAAACAAUGGAGUAACCAGAAUCAAAUUUACCCAUUUACCCUUCAUCUGAAACAACUCAAAAUCUAGACUAUACAAAAUAAUAGUUCUCAAGAUAUGGGACAUCAAGCACUAAGGACAGUGACCCUUACAGUUGCCCUAACUUGCUACCUGUGUAAAGUUUCCGUGAUGUAACAUAAGAAGGAGGAACCCAGGAGGAACCUGGUUUUCUUGCUGAGUUGAAGAGAUGGGAUUGGGAGUUCCAAGAGGCCAAGACAAGAGUUCACAAGACAGAGUGCCAGAGACAAGAGAGAUGCACAGAGAGGGAACUCUAAGGAUCUGCAAAAGAUCCCCUCAACUUUUCAGCUGAGAGCUUUCCUCAGAACAUGCACGUGAGGAACCUAUCCAAGGCUGAAAAAGAAUUACUCAGAAGGAUUAAAGGGAGUAAUCUCUUGAGCUCACACAGGCCAGGAAGAGUGGCUAUUCCUACCAGCAUUCAUGGGUAGAAUACUCAAAAGGGUUUUGCCUCAGGAAGGAAUAUUAAUCCUAAACUAGAUGCUAUUCUGGUCCUACCUAGCAAAGCUUAAAAGCAAGGCUCGGGAGGAUUAAAUGACUGCCAAGUAACUUAACCCCAUCUCAGCACAGCUCAAGACUAUAAGAAUACAAAUAUAUCCAGCAUUCAAACAAAGUAAAAUGUACAAUACUUGGCAUUUGAUAAAAAAUUACCAGACACGCAAAGAAGCAGGAAAAUUAGACUCAUAAUAGGAACAAAAUUAAUAAAUCAAAAGGGACUGUAAAUGACACAGAUGAUAGAAUGUAUAAACAAGAACAUUACUUUUUAUAACUUUGUCCUAUUUGUUAAAGAAGCCAGAGGAAAAUUGGCCAUGUUAAGUAGAGACAUGGAAGAUAUUAAAAAACUAGAUUUAAAAAAUAGUGUCUAAGAUGAAAAGGAACUGCUUAUUUUAACAGCAGAUUAGACAAUUUAGAAGAAAAGAUUAGUGAAUCAUGAAAAUAUUGCAAUAGAAACUAUCCAAAAUGAAAUACAGAGAGAUUAAAAACUAAAAAUAAAAUAAUAAAAAGAUAGUCAAUUAGCUGUAUGUCACCUUUAAACAACCUAAUAUACUUGUAAUUGAAAUCUCCAAAGGAAGCAGGGGAGGAUAUCUCAAAAAGUAAUGGCAAAAAUGUUCUAAAUUUGAUGAAAAUUAAAACUCUCAUGUCCAAGAAGAUCAACAAGCCCCAAGCAGAAGAAACAUGAAGAAAGUUACGAGAAGACACGUGAUAAUAAAUUUAGCUAAAACUAAUUAUGAAGAGAAAAUCUUAAAAGCAGCCCAAGAAGUCCUAUCUGUAGAGAGGAACAAGGUUAAGGAUGACAACAUAUUACAAGCUAGAAGACAGUAGACCAAUGUCUUUAAAGUACUGGAAGAAAAAUGUUGUCUAUCUAGAAUUCUUUAUCCAGUGAAAACAUCCUUCAAAAAUGAAUAUGAAAUAAAGAUUUUUUUUUCACACCUACAAUAGCUGAAAGAAAUCUUUACCAGCAGACAUGCCUCAAAAGAAAUGGUAAAUGAAGUCCUUCAAGCAGAAGAAAAAUGGCUCUAAAAGGAAAUUUGUAUUUACAUAAAAGAAUGAAGAGCACUAGAAAUAAUAACUAUGUGGGUAAAUAGAAAGGCUUUUUUCUUAUUAUUUAAAUCUAUUUUAAAAAUAAACAAUGUAAAGCAAAAAUAAUAAAUCAAGAUUUAUAUAGAAGUACAAGUAAAAUGUAUGACCAUAGCACAACAGCAAGUAGGAUUGGAAAUGUAAAUAUAUAGUUUAAGUUUCUUUUUUUUUUUUUUUUGAGACAGGGUCUUGCUCUCACACCCAGCUUGGAGUGUAGUGGUGUGAUCUCAGCUCACUGCAUCUUCAACCUCCUGAACUCAAGCAAUCCGCCCAUCUCAGCCUCCCAGGGAGUAGCUGGGUGGGACUACAGGUGUCUGCCACCAUACCUGGCUAAUUUUUGUAUUUUUUUUGCAGAGGCUGUGUUUCACCAUAUUGCCCAGGCUGGUCUCGAACUUCUGAGCUCAAGCGAUCCACCGUCCUCAGCCUCCAGAAGUGCUGGGAUUACAGGCAUGAGACACCAAGUCCAGCCAUAAGUUGGAGUCCACACCUUGUGACAACAAAAGACAACUCAAAUCAGCUUCAAGCAUGGAUCAUAACUAACCGCGGGGCUAUUUUUUCCAUCUGUAAUAAAGAAUGUUCCAACAUCUUUAAUAACCGAAGAUAAUCCUCUGUCGUCAUCUUGAGCAUCUAGGUUAUAAAAAUACGUACACUGCUUUGAAGAAAGGUUCUGGUCCACUGGUGUCACGUGAAGGUCAGAUUAUGGAAAACUGGCAUUGUUACAACAAGAAAUGAAGCCUGCUCAUGUUUUCUCUGGGUAUUUUGAAUAAAGUAUCUCGGAGUUUCCAACUUGACGAUUAUUUUUUUUUCUUUUUUUUUUUUUGAGACAGGGUCUCAGGCUGGAGUGCAGUGGCGCGAUCUCGGCUCACUGCAGGCUCCGCCCCCCGGGGUUCACGCCAUUCUCCUGCCUCAGCCUCCCGAGUAGCUGGGACUACAGGCGCCCGCCGCCUCGCCCGGCUAAUUUUUUGUAUUUUUAGUAGAGACGGGGUUUCACUGUGUUAGCCAGGAUGGUCUCGAUCUCCUGACCUCGUGAUCCACCCAUCUCGGCCUCCCAAAGUGCUGGGAUUACAGGCGUGAGCCACCGCGCCUGGCCCCAACUUGAAGAUUUAAUUAAAGGCAUGAGGAGUGAUUAAUUCUAAAUGCUCAUCACUGACAAUGACUUGCCAUAUGUUAGAGAAACACCUAUUGGAAUGAAUGAGAGAAAAAUGUUUGGUUUCAGAUUGAAGGUCUCCUGAAAAACGUUUUGAGCAUUCAAACAUUUUGAACAGAAUAAUCAGAAAAAUUUGGAAUGUCUUAUUCCAAGAUAAAGAGCACAUUUAAAAAAAAAGCUAUUUGGUAGAAAUAUUAGCCAAUCCUAUUUUUCCACUUUUAUGCAAAAGAACUUGUCAUCUCUGAGAAAUAAAGGGGGUAUGCUUUUUGAACUGAAGUGUAAAGAUUGGCAAUACAAUAUCAAAAUAAUAGCUAGAUGGGGGAGAUAUAAGACAGGAGGAUGGGGGUGACGAUGAAUCAGUUGAGAAGAAAUGCUCUUCAUGGUUUUGAAUUUAGAGAAACAUGUGCUGCUCAUACUUCCCCUACAAUGCCUGGCAACCAUGCAUCUUAGGCCACCAUGCAUCUUAGGCAACCAUGCAUCUUAGGCCAUCAUGCAUCUUAGGGAAAGUAUGAGCAGCACCCAAGUAUGUUCUCUAAAUUCAAAACAUUGGGAAUGGUCCAGAGGUGCCUCUGGUGGUUGCCAUCUCCAGAACUCCCCCUUCAAGUUUCUUUCUUGGUCAACAGGGAACCAGGUCAGAGUUGAAUUUAUCCUCCAUCCCCCUGGGAGCUCUGUGUGCUAAUCUUGUUGAGAUUUUUGGCCACUCAAUGGCUUUGGCUUCAGAUUGCCUCUCCAGUUUUUCACCCUUAAUAAAAACUUCUUCAUCCUUCCCGGGCAUACAAAACAACCUGAAUGAACUUGUUCACACUAAGGUAGGGGUAGAGAAACUGGGCAGGCUAAGACAAAGGCUAUGGUGACUGACAGCAUUAGAGCAAGGGUUACCCAGAAUCCCAGGAGAUUCCCCUGGGCUUCUUCCAAGUGGGUCUCCUAGUAAAGAAUCUUGGAGACUGGGUCUUUACUACCAUCUCUUUGUUCCGUAAGUACAGUAUUGAGAAGGCAGUGAGAGAUUAAAAAUUAUUGUGUCAGCCUCUUAUCUCUUAGGCCAAUAGCCAUCUUGUGACUGCCCAAGGCACUUGGCAGGAGCCCUGGAGCCCAACCUCAGAUCUUAGGCUACCAUCAUCACCUUGCUUCUUCAGGCUACCAGUGUAUGCUGGGCUGGUGAAACACUGGGCAAUCCACCCAACUGCCCAUCAGAAACCUUUGUUAUGGACAUUCCUAAAUCUUCUCACAGUUUCUUCUCACUGUUGACAUACCAAAGAGACAUUUCCAAGACUGUCUACUUCUGCUUUCCUCCGCCUACAAAGCUCCUAAGGCCUCCAGUGACAACAUGUUUGAGUAUCCUUAUAUCUCUUGGAGAGCAGGUUCAUGUUCUAAUACUAAGCACUUUCUGAAUUUAUGAGAAGAAAAGUAGUUCUCUGCCUUGGGGAGCAUUGGCUAAUAAUUUUUAGAUAAUUAAAAACUGCCACGAUGUACAUUCAUACUAAAUCCUAGCUUAUAUUACUCUGCAGUAUCAAAGGGUGAAUGUUGACGUUGAAAAUAAUGGUAACAAUAACCACAAUUUAUUAUUGUUUAUUACUGGUGCCACAUGCCAUGCUAAACAUUGGGCCUAGGUCCUUCCUAGUUCUCCCAAUACCCACCAAAAGAAACCACUUCACAUGAGUUAAAACUGAGGCUCAGAGUGGUGCGGGGACUAGCCCAAAAUCACAUAGCCAUUUGAAAUGUUAGAAGCCAUUUCAGAUCUAGGUCUUUUUAUUUCUCCACCCAGUCUAGCUAUUAUUUUGACAUGGCAUUGGUAGUUUUUACAAUCCAAUUCAACAGUGUCUCUAGGAUGACAAAUUCAAUAAAGGGAAAAAAUAGGGAUAGCCUGACAUUUCUCCCAAAUAGUUGCUUCUUUUUCUUUUUAAAAUAAAACUUUUAAAAAAUUAAAUAAAAGUUAAGAUAGACCUUGCUGAAAUAUGCAAAGGACUUCAAAGAACAAAAUGGCACCCAAGAACUGUAAGAGCACAGUGUUGUCUUGGCAGGAUGAAGUCCAACAAUGUACAUAGAAAAGAUAACCAUGUCAAUAGUUAGUAGUGACACAUGUUAACUAUUACUACCAUGGCAAUGAUGACGAUGAUGAUGACAUAGUUAUUCCUCUCAAGAAGUUCUCCGUCUAGUGGAGGAAGUAUUCAGGUAAACAAGAGAUCAUAGUACAGUGUGGCAGAAAUAAUGCACAAAGUGUGAGCAGGACUAGAAAAAGGAGAACUCAAUCUGGAUGGGCAGGUGUGUGGGUGGGGACCACGGCGUUGCAUGCACACACAGACGUACACUGUGUGUGUGUGUGUAGAGAUGACUGUAAAUACAACUGCUUGUCUUUUCAUAUAUGUGAACAGAAACAGAUUCAGUUUCAGACAACUGCUACUUUUAUCAUUCCUUUUCUUUGUGCCACAUAGCACUGGGGUCUUUAGGAACUUUUUACAAAUACCACUUUGGCUGCUAUUGAAGACUAUUUUGGAUUUGUAUUCCACUCACCAGAGGUUUCCAUUGUAAUACACAGGGGUAGGCAGGCAGAAUGGAAAGAAAAAGAAUAAUGGUUUCUUAGGAAACUGAACACUACAUUUCCUGUGAUUACAAUCUCAAGGCUAAAGCUCCAUGCUCAUUACGGGAUUUUCUUGACAGCAGUGUGUCCCUGUCAAAAGGUUUUGAAAGAGUUUGAAAUUAGAGUUUCUUUGGGUUCCAGGAGGCAUUGGCUCAGGACUUUGGCCAAAGACACUUCAUCUGCUGACAUUUCUUGAAUGGCCUCGUUUAAGCCUAGCCACCUUGCCUCUUGCUCCUGGGACGUGGCUGCCCAUAAAAGUAGGGUGAGUACUCAAUCAUUAGCCAGUUGCCAGUGAGCAUUCAAUGUCGCCAAAGUGCUGGGCUAGGCUUUGUGAGGGACACCAGAGCCCAGUUCUUAGAGCUUCCAGUCUAGUUAAAGAAGUAGUACCGGCUGGGCGCAGUGGCUCACACCUGUAAUCCUGGCACUUUGGAAGGCCGAGGCAGGUGGGUCACGAGGUCAGGAGAUCGAGACCAUCCUGGCCAACACGGUGAAACCCCGUCUCUACUAAAAAUACAAAAAAUUAGCCGGGCAUGGUGGCCAGCGCCUGUAGUCCCAGCUACUUGGGAGGCUGAGGCAGUGCCUAAACUAGAAACGGACAAGUAUUUCACUGGGCCAACAUUGGGGGGUGGUGCUGCAAACACUGAGUGUCAGAGGACUUUGAAGGUGGGAGAGAGCUGUCUUGCUGCAUGUAGGUUUUUGGGGACGGGCAAGUAAAUGGGUAGAUGGCCAGUUGAAAGGAUGGUAGCGUGAACAGGUGGGUGGGUGGAUGGAUGGAUGGAUGGAUGGAUGGAUGGAUGGAUGGAAGGAUGGCAGCCAGAUGGGGCUGAAUGGCCGGAUGAUGAAUGGGUGGGUGGGUGCAUGAGUGCAGCAGCAUUACACAGUAUCUUUGAAGUCAAUUAGACAAGAAUUGCUGUUCUGCCAUUUACUAGCUACAUGACCUCAGGAGAUUUAAUUAACCCUUUCAAACACAAUCGCCUCACUUACAAAAUAGGAGUGAUAAUACUUGCCUUGCAAGCUUGUUGAGAAAAUUGAAUGUGAUAAGGCUUGUGAAGCACCUGGCAUAUGGUAGACACACAAUAAAGAGGAACUAGUUUUUUUCUGUUUUUUUUUUUUUUUUUUUUUUUUUUGAGAUGGAAUCUCACUCUGUAGCCCAAGCUGGUGUGCAGUGGUGCAAUCUUGGCUCACUGCAACCCCUGCAUACUGGGCUCAAGCGUUCUCAUGCCUCAGCCUCCCGAGUAGCUGGGACUACAGGCACGUGCCUCCAAACCCGGCUAAUUUUUUUGUAUUUUUUGUAUUUUAAUAGAGACAGGGUUUCACCAUGUUGCCCAGGGUGGUCUCAAACUCCUGAGCUCAGGCAAUCCACCCACCUCAGCCUCCCAAAAUGCUGGGAUUACAGGCGUGAGCCACAGCACCUGUCCGAAACUAGGUUUAUUAAUAUGAGUAAUGAUCUAGAAAAGUUUCCAGGUGGACAUGGGAUUAGAGCCAGGCCUGAAGAAAGGACUGGAUGGAGAUGGAUGGAAAAGAGGAAAAGGGCAGUCUCUGACGAAAGGGCAGCACUAUGAGAGUGUGUGCCUGGAAAAGCUAGAGUUGCAUCUGGUGUCACUGAGGGGGCUUCCACAGCCACAAGUUUGUGGGGCUGGAAAGGCAGAUUGAAGCCUAAGUGUAGAGGACUUGACAUGCUUUUCGUGUCAAGUCAUGAGAUUUGGCUUUUCCCUGGAGAUUCGUGGAGGUUACUGAAGGUUCAGAAGGAAGUAGGAACGUUCCCUCUGGACCCCCUUUCCUCUGAGCCUGACCUUGACAACAUCCGGACUUCCUUUGAACUUGGAAGCUCCUGGCUUCUUACUGUAUUUAUAGUUCCCCUUACCUUUUACAAGAAGCUGUGGACUUCCUGUGCCCAGGACAGCUGUAGGACUCUGGCAGCCAGCACUCUCCUCCCUCCCCAGGGAGCAGCUGAAAGACUGCUGCCUACAGAAACUCUCGGCUGACAGUUAAGAAGCAAGUGAUUUUUAAAGAUUAGAUGAUACAAAGGGAAGCAAGUCCCCUUAAACCUCCUUUGUCAAAUAAAUGCUACCUGUGAAUCAGAGGAGCGAUCUACUAUGACUCACCCUUUCACAAGCCUCUGCAGAGAAGGCCGGCUGCCAGCUGAUUUUCAGGGCAUGGUUCCAGGUGACUAUGGGAUCCCAGGGACCCUGGGUUCAGGGGAGGGGCUGUGCUUUACCACCAAGAAAACCACACAGGGAGGCUGACACAGGAACCAAGAGGGUGCCUAGAAGGUUUCCUUCCAUAGGAGGCAGCAGAGUCAAGGGGAGCGGUUCUGUUUUGCUUUUGGAAAGCAAGAGCAUUAGAGCUGAAAAGUGCCUAGAAUCCACCUCUUCUUAAUGGGAGGUUCUGGAUACCCAUCAGGAAGUUUGUAAACUGCAAAAUUAGGUGGGUGUGUGCAUUUUGUGCAAAGAGGGCACAUAGUUUUAAUCAGAUACUCUUGGUUCUAAGAGCCUCUCUCUAUGUUUUGACACCUAAACUCCUCAUCUGGCCCACAGAGCAUGAUUCAGUGAUUUGUUCAAAGUCACACCACCAGUGGAUAACAGAGAAGAGAGAGAAAGCAAAGUCAUCAGGGCCCUUUCUGCUGCCCUGGCCCCAUGAGAGAACCUACAAUAAGCGAUCUGCUGUGACAUUCUGAACAUAGCCCCCUAGACAGAAAUUAAAUGUGUCAAGAAGGACCACUUUGAAAACCUUUGUGCCACCAGCCCCUUCACUCCUUCCAAUUAGCCUACCCCCACCCCAUGACCCUACCUACCUAUCAAGUUGGCUUCCUGUUAAGAGGGCAACAUGCUUUAGAGACAAGUAUUUGCAGUUGAAGGAUCCCUGAAGCUGCCUCUCAAAUUCUCAAGCACUUAGGGUGGGAGUCACUGAGCCGCUGGCCUUCUUGGCUGAACAUUUCGGGGGAAACAGCAGAUUGAGAGUAAGCAAGUAAACAGGAGCACCCUGGGGGUACUGGAAGUCAUUGUUACCUUUUUUCCCUUUUUUCAUUUAUGUGGAUGAGUUGUUGUCACCUCAAAUUGACCUUAGUGUAUCUUCAACAUAGUUGUAAUGUAAGGAACCCACAGUUUGAAGACAGCUUGGGUUUGAAUCUUAGCUCCAUCAUUUAUUGCUAAUUUAACUUUGAGCAAGUUUCUUAAACUUCUAUACCUUGGUGUUCCCAUGUGUAAUUGAGUACUUGGCCUUUGGCAGAGAUUGGUAAGUGCCAAUUAAAACCAAUUCCUGACCAGGCAGCCAGACUGCUCUCUAGCCCAGCCUCCCUUGCAGUUAGACUUGCUGUGUGAUUAAAUUCUCUAGCCAACAGAAUGUGGGGAGAGGAUGAUGUGUCACUUCCAGAUCUGGCCCAUAAAAAUUUUCUGGGUUGGGCAAAGGAAAUGAACAGACAUUUUUCAAAAGAAGACAAACAGCCGGGCGCGGUGGCUCACGCUUGUAAUCCCAGCACUUUGGGAGGCCGAGGCGGGCGGAUCACGAGGUCAGGAGAUCAAGACCACAGUGAAACCCCGUCUCUACUAAAAAUACAAAAAAUUAGCCGGGCGUGGUGGCGGGUGCCUGUAGUCCCAGCUACUCGGAGAGGCUGAGG
This is an RNA transcript of Symphalangus syndactylus (siamang), 15868 nucleotides long. It is a transcript of the gene named TBC1 domain family member 19, with no coding region annotated. The record is from RefSeq and is a predicted model, not a curated record. Lineage: Eukaryota; Metazoa; Chordata; Mammalia; Primates; Hylobatidae.